AGAGAGUAUAGCAUGUAAACAUUCCUUCUCAAUAAUAUGGUUGUAUUGGAAAGCUUUUCAUACAGAUUGACAACUCAUGGUCCGAUAUGCAUGUAAUAUUUGCCACAUGACGCCCAUAGUUCUUUCUACCAUCAUCAUCUUAUUCUUUGAUAUUGCUGUAAACAUCGAUGGUUCACACCCAAACAAAAUGGGAGUAAUGUACCUUCAGAGCUUCUCCGUGUUAUACACUUGUGAAACUUAAUAUAUAGACGAAAUUUCUGUAUUGAAAUGAAUCUACAUCUCACAAACAGGAUUUUCAAAUAACGAUUUUGAGUAAUCACCUUACAAACCAAUAUAAACGUAUGGCAAGAUAUAACCAUGAAGGAAUUUAGUUUUUGUCAGACGCAAGAACUCAUCACUAUCAUAAACGUAUACGUAUAUAUGCAUGCAGUUUCAAAUAUCAAGAACAAGCGGUCGAUGUCGAUAGUCCGUUUUCUAACUGUUCAGAGUUAGACAUGUCACUUGUUCAUUCUUGGAAGCCUUCAUAUUCCCCGUCCAACGAUGGGAACUCUUUCUGGUUGUGUUGACUAUAAAUGCUUGUAUGGUAAUUCUGUCGUUUAUCUGUACAAGUGGUUGCAUUUCCUCUCCUUUCCCAACAAACAAACUAACGAAACGCUACUAGUCUGCUUUCUCUGGAGCUCAUCCUCAAUGGCGCUUAUACGUCAGGAAACUUACAUGUAUACUAAUAAUGAUUGUUUCAAGAACAACGAUGUAUGGACGAACUAUUCUAAAUUCGUCAAUAUCAGUUAUGCAUGACUAAAAUAUAAGUUUUAUUACAACUACUGUAUUACUUAUUUGGAUUAAUGAUGGCUAUCAUGUUCAACAUUGCACAAAUAUUAUCAUAGAAUUAAAAAAAAAAAAAAAAUGUACAAAAAUCCUCAAAAAAAAUAAUGCCUUAGCUUAGAUAAUUGGUAUUCUUUUCACAAAAAGUUCGUGUAAAUGAUUGUCAAAUGAAUUUAAUUAUGUAAGAAUGAAAUGUUAAAAAGAAACUAAAAAAAA
This 1038-nucleotide long non-coding RNA is filed under the name Mytilus galloprovincialis (Mediterranean mussel). The record is from RNAcentral. Lineage: Eukaryota; Metazoa; Mollusca; Bivalvia; Mytilida; Mytilidae.